RNAcentral lists this unclassified non-coding RNA (509 nucleotides) under Hevea brasiliensis (rubber tree). The record is from RNAcentral. Lineage: Eukaryota; Viridiplantae; Streptophyta; Magnoliopsida; Malpighiales; Euphorbiaceae.
UUGAUAAUAAAACCAAUUUCGAAUUUAGCAUCCUAAUUGACAAGUUUUAGGAUCACAUGGUGGUGCCAUUCACUGGUACUGUCAAUCAGAAAAUCAUUUUACAUCAAGUUGUAAUAGUAGAGUUGCAGAGGGAAUUUUCUCGGCAUAAUAAUCAAACUAAAUCCAAUGCCAAAUGCAAGUUUCAAUGGAGGAAAAGGAUAUGCAAUAUCGACAACAACUUUCAGGAUUUGACAUUAAUUAAAGAUUAUGCUUCUCUAGAAACCAGAACAAAUUCACAGAUUCCAUCCUCCUCAUCCUGCCUCUUUUCUUUCCUGAAAAAGCUUUUAUGCUUAAUCUCAAAACUCAGUCACUAGCAAGGGAUACCAACACCUCUCUAUAACCACACAUGUCACCAUGCUUGUGAGUUUUUUACUGGAUUCGACUUGUCCACAAAAAAUCACGCCUCAGGCUCAUCUUUUGCAUAGGUAAGCUACAAUGUCCCCAUGAUCGAUUAUAUUCCCAGUUCUUUU